Myzus persicae (green peach aphid) is the source of this 3219-nucleotide long non-coding RNA. RefSeq lists it as uncharacterized. The record is from RefSeq and is a predicted model, not a curated record. The transcript is spliced from 8 exons. NCBI's taxonomy places the organism in Eukaryota, Metazoa, Arthropoda, Insecta, Hemiptera, Aphididae.
AAAUUAAUAAUAACUAUGUAGGUAUCUACUACAGAUGUGUUAUGUUUUCUAUUUUUCUAUUUGAAAUUUAAUUUAAAAAUAUAAUUAGAAUAGUUAUAAACUAGCUGCAUGAAUUGACAAUAGUACAAUAUAAUAUUAUGAAAAUUAUUCUUUGAAAAACGAAUAAUACCUAACACUUGAUGUAUUUAUCACCCACAACAAAUGCUAACUCUUGGUGUGCGCUGUGCAUUUCAAGAACUAAGAUUCAUGUUGCACUACGAUUACGAAUGUCGAAUGGUCUACGAUUUACUACACACCUCACAUAGUGUACUCUAGGAAUUGGACGUUUUAUUCGUGUGUAGUGAUCAUACACCCAAAAACAACAGCACUUAAUGUCAGACAAAGAGAUUAUGGGAGAAGCCUACUGUAAAAGUGUUAAGUUGUUCCAGACAUUUAAAACUAAAAAUACUUGUUUGUUGAUGAGUUCUUAUCUUGGUGGAGAGUUGUCGAAUAUACUGAGAUAUAAAGGAUAUUUUAAUGUCUACCAUAUGUUCCUACACUAGAUAUGCCAUUGAAGCAUUCAGUUACUUACAUUCUCGCAAUAUAAUUUACAGAAAUCUGAAACCUGAAAAUUGAACAUCAGUACAUCACUAGUUGUGUGAAAUUUGACGAUGUUGGCUUUGCCAAAAAAACUGCGUAAACCUGGAUAUUCUAUAGAAAACCAGAAUACAUUUCCCUAAGCUAGCCUCAACAGAGGGUUUGAUUCCAAAUGAUUCUUUUGGAAUACUUAUUUAAAAUUUUGUCUGUAGGUUUUGGAAACAAUAAAUCAACUGCCCCAGUAAACAGAUUACAAAUCUAAACUUCUCCCAGCAGCUGUGAUUAUCGGACAAAAUGUAUCAAGGAAGAAAUUACAAAAACAUUGGAUAAACAGAGUAGUUACUACCUACUAUGUUGUGUUGCACCAACUAGUCAUAUGAACUAUGAUAUAAUAUGAAGACUACCUACAUGCUUCAACUAGCACAUUCAAACUUUCAAGCAAAUAAUGAUUUAAAUGUAUCAAGGAAGAAGGAAAAUGAUUGAAUAAACAAAGUUACUAUUUCCUAAAGGUUACAACUGUCACAUUUAAACCUUCAUAUAUAUCAUGCAAGUUCUGAUGUGUUGCAAUAACUAUAAUGUAUUUGGAAUGAUAAAUCUGAACUAACAUAACAGAUUAACAAAGUUGCAGUCCGUUUUUGUAAGCCAUUCAUAGACAGUAAAUAUGUACUAAAUGUAUCAAGGAAGAAAGGAAAGCAUUGAAUGAACUAAGUUACUUUCACCUUCAGGCUACAAUUACCACAUUUAAACUUUCAUACAAGCCAUAUCGUGGAAACAUCAAAUUUAAACUGGAAAUAAACAAAAAUAAUGAUCCUGAUCCCAACCCAAAGAAUUAUUGAUUCUGGACUUUGAUAAUGGAACGAGGAUGAUCUAGUCAGAUCAGGGGAAUAAUUUCACUCAGCGAUGACCAUAGAGUGGCUGGACCAUGGGUUAUAAAUCUAAAUUAUAUUCUACCGAUCUCAGGAAUCACUUUGUCAUAUAUUUUAGAUUUGAAUUUUUUUUAUUUUUAAUCUUUAGUUCUAUUUUAUCAACAUCAGUAAUACUAUACUAAAUAUAUACUGUUAAUGUUUUAUGUUAAAACAACUUAUAUUUGUAUAAUCUAUUAUAAAUAUUAUUUAUUUUUCAUUGUUCUAAUCACAUAGUUGAAUCAUUUGUUUUAUGUGUUCUGGUUUUUCACUGAUUUCAUAUCACUGUUUACUCCUAAAUUAUAAUGCUGCUGAAAUCAUAUAAAUCUAUGGUAAAUUUAUAUUUUUAGUACAAUAUAAUAUUUAAUAUGCAUGUUAAUUUAGAACUUUUACACUUGAACAUGACAUAUUGACAUAUUGUAUUGAACAAAUUUAAAAAUGAAUUUUAUUUGUAUUUUUUUUCACAAUGUAGUUUGACUUACUUUUAAUGUUAUCACAUUUUUUAUAUUUAAUUUAAAAAAAAAAAAUGUCUAAAAAUAUUUGGUGAAUAUUUUUGUUAAAAUAUUUAACUGGCUAAUAGUCAAAAGUAUGUCCGUUUAAUUUGUGAUAAAUUUUAUGGGGAAAAAGAUGUAUACAUUAUAAAUUAGUGAUAAAUCUAUGGCUCAAAGAAUGUAUCAAGAAGUCUUGAAAAGUCGGUACAAUUGACAGACAUUAAUUGUUAAUAUACAUGCAACAUGUAGCAUUUAUUCAACAAACAAUAUUUUUUUACUAUUUAAGGCAUUAAAGUUUUUAUGUAUGUUUUGUACUUAGCUUCAGUAUUAUCUACUAUCAAAGCGAAUGCAUAACUAUUUUUGAAGUGAAAACUUUUUAGGCUCGUUUAGCACUUUUUGUGGGUACUGAAUUAAACUGAGCCGUCACGCUCGGUUAUGUAACACUCAUUUCGGGCGAAGUCGGCUCGAGUCGAUUAAGCAUGAGAGGAACAGUUAGCAGAACAAGAGAGAAAUGUAGUCGAAGCUUCACUGCUGUACUCGCCCAGCAGAAUUGGUUAGGGUUAGGUUGUGUUGGUUAGGAUGUUAGGAUGUGUGUGUGUGUGUAUUUAUACACAAUCAUAAUUAAGUGCAUUGUAAUAGUUAUUAAUUUAUCAAUAUAGAACCCAAAAAAACUUGUAUUUCGUAUUAUUAAUUUCGCCUUGUUGAAGUUUUCACUUCUGUCUUGAAAAUGACAAUUUUUUUUAUUGGUAACAGUCCAUCUUUCCAAAAGCAGUAAUUUUUGUUUAUAGUAAUUAGCUUUCAAUUUUGUCCUUUUUGAACCAAUUGAAACUUCGGAAUGCAAUGGUUCCACUGUAUGGGAAAGAUUUUUUUUCAUUUUCCCAAAAUUCAUUCUUGAAUUGCUCCUAAUAAAAGUUAUAUUUAAGAUCAUAUACAAUAUGUAGUAGGUGAAAUGUAAAUUACAUUAAAAAAAAUUAAUUGAAUGCCACAUUGUCGCCACAAAUGUUGUUAGGCUUAAUAUUGUAGUGAGUUUACCUAUAGCUACUGUUAUAAUUAUUGUUAUAAUAUAACUAACAUGACUAGAAAAGUUAAAAUAUUGUAAACAAGUCACCAUACAAUCAUUACUGGUGUCCAAUAAUAUUCUUGACUUUAAGAUAGUUUAUACAUUCAUUCACUUUAAUAUAAAUACACAAUUUGUUCGGCAGAAAGCAAAUUUGCCAUGCUUCAUGCUUGUAAACACUAUCUUAUUAUAC